This 247-nucleotide ribosomal RNA is filed under the name Prorocentrum elegans. RNAcentral describes it as "partial large subunit ribosomal RNA". Lineage: Eukaryota; Dinophyceae; Prorocentrales; Prorocentraceae. The record is from RNAcentral.
UGCGCUAAGGUAUCCCCGGACGCGCAUGCUGUUUCUUGCCUUGUGUGUCAACGCCUGUUCGCGAUCGAGGAAAACUCCAGGGACAUGGUAGCCUGCCCCCGGGCGGGUGAAUGUGCCUGGUAGAACUCAUUUGCGAACUGAUCCCAUCGUGUCUGGUUGCAGCGCGUUGCGUCUCCGCGACGACCUCGGCCGGGGAGCUCGCUCCCGGCGCCGGGGGGCUCGGGUGACCAGGGCGCUUCCCUGACAC